This 865-nucleotide long non-coding RNA is filed under the name Trifolium pratense (red clover). RNAcentral describes it as "long non-coding RNA (TPRA_LNC004751)". The record is from RNAcentral. Lineage: Eukaryota; Viridiplantae; Streptophyta; Magnoliopsida; Fabales; Fabaceae.
UUUUCAGUUCCACUUUUCCCUGUGUAAGAAAAAAAACAGUCUUGUAUUCCCUAAUUAACUUUCUUUUUAUUCUCCGUAAAAAAAGUUUAUUUCUUAUUUUUUUUAGUGAAGCAAUCAAAUCAAAUCUUUAAGUUAAAAAGCCAAAAAAACCUACCUCGCCUCCAUUUUUGCGUCUCCUUCCUUCUCCAUAUCCUUUGAUCUACUUCCCAUCACUGCUUAUCUCUCUCUGCUUCUUCUAUAUCAAACAAAUCGAACACUGCAACACACCGCGACGGUCGUUCCGAAGAUGAAUCUUAACUACAUCGCGAGAAGCUCUUCGAAUACGGUGAGAAAUUCAAUAGUUCCAAGAACAAAUCUCAGGUCAUUGUCACCUCUAUAAUUUCAAUGUCUCUUCGUUUUUUAUUUAGUGUUUUAGAUGGUGUUGUUGUUCAAGUUUUCUUUCAAUUAGGGUUUUGAACUGUCGUUUUUAACACUCAGAUCUUUAGGGAUUUGUGUGUGUUGUUGUGAAGAAACACCUGCUUACUUGAUCUUCUACGUUACACAAGAAAGUUUUUUGCCAACUAAUGAACUCUUUUUGCACAGGUGAUACUCUGAAUGCAUUGAAGAACAACAUGAAUUAUCCUAACAAUGAAUUAUCCUAAUGUUGUUCUUUAAUGUUUUAUAAUGUAGACCAAGAGAGGCUUUGUGUUUGCUGUCAAGGAGUCCAUUGUUUAGUUCAUUUUGGGGAAAUUUUGGUGUUUGAUUUGGUGCUAAAAGCUUCUUCCAAGACACUAUAAGGGUAUUUAUUUAUUUAUUUAUUUGAUAAUUGGCUAAUCAAAGUCUUUCUUAUCUUUAUGGUAACGAAAAUACUUAAUUCAAGAAUCCA